UGGGGAAUAUUGCACAAUGGGCGCAAGCCUGAUGCAGCAACGCCGCGUGAGGGACGACGGCCUUCGGGUUGUAAACCUCUUUUAGUAGGGAAGAAGCGAAAGUGACGGUACCUGCAGAAAAAGCACCGGCUAACUACGUGCCAGCAGCCGCGGUAAUACGUAGGGUGCGAGCGUUGUCCGGAAUUAUUGGGCGUAAAGAGCUCGUAGGCGGUCUGUCGCGUCUGCUGUGAAAACCCGAGGCUCAACCUCGGGCCUGCAGUGGGUACGGGCAGACUAGAGUGCGGUAGGGGAGAAUGGAAUUCCUGGUGUAGCGGUGGAAUGCGCAGAUAUCAGGAGGAACACCGAUGGCGAAGGCAGUUCUCUGGGCCGUAACUGACGCUGAGGAGCGAAAGCGUGGGGAGCGAACAGGAUUAGAUACCCUGGUAGUCCACGCCGUAAACGCUGGGCGCUAGAUGUGGGGACCAUUCCACGGUUUCCGUGUCGCAGCUAACGCAUU
This 496-nucleotide ribosomal RNA is filed under the name uncultured bacterium. RNAcentral describes it as "partial 16S ribosomal RNA". It matches the Rfam family "Bacterial small subunit ribosomal RNA", at positions 355 to 861 of the family's 1533-position model. The record is from RNAcentral.